AUGAUCAGAUUGCUAUACAUACAAUUUUCCUGCUCCUAUUGUCUGUUAUCUAACUAUCUUACACUAUCCAGGCAAACUAAACAAGAAAAAAUACAUCGCCAGGGCUUCUUCAUGCAUCUUCUUCAGAAGCUACAAACAGCAAAUCUGUUGGCUGGCUCCAACAGUAGGCAUGGCGCAGCCAGUGUAGUGGCAAGACGUCACCAUAGAGCUGAGCAAUGCACUCUCGACCUCGAUGGAGGCAUUUCUCCUGAGCAAGCACAUGACAUACUCCAUCACUGCAGCAUCACAAGGCAGUGUGAUCUUGCCUUUGUUUGCAAAGCCAAACUCCUCCUGAGAUAUCCUCAGGAGCUCGCUGAAGACCGUGGUGCUGAGGUACACCAAGGGCACCUCGAAACGCGUCCCGUCGGCCGUGUAAAUGACACAGUGGCCCUUGGCUGGUACAAAACUGCAGCAGUCUUGAUCCUCUUUGGCUGA
This 474-nucleotide ribosomal RNA is filed under the name Triticum aestivum (bread wheat). RNAcentral describes it as "partial small subunit ribosomal RNA". Lineage: Eukaryota; Viridiplantae; Streptophyta; Magnoliopsida; Poales; Poaceae. The record is from RNAcentral.